Molecule: ribosomal RNA, 1542 nt
Filed under: Salmonella sp. FORC89
Lineage: Bacteria; Pseudomonadati; Pseudomonadota; Gammaproteobacteria; Enterobacterales; Enterobacteriaceae
Description: Small Subunit Ribosomal RNA
Source: RNAcentral
GUGCCACAGUGAGUGUUUUUAAGGAGAGUUUCAUUAUCUUUGAUCCUUUAAGAUAUUAUAAAUAUUGACAUAGUAACAAUAUCUAUAGUGUGGAAAGUUAUUGUUCUUUUUAUUCCCGAAUGAGUAAAUAUAAUGUCCGAUGAUUUUUACGGCGCGAAGAAAAAUUCAGAAUACAUAAAUAUGAAAUAUUUAUAAUAUAUAUUUAAUCAAUUAUUUUGGUGAGUGUUUGUUUAAUUGAAUCGCCGUGAUUACCCUUUAAUGGGCCAGAUUCUAUGAAGGCUGCUAACAAUUUUAAAAAUAAUGCAAAUUUUUUUGAAUAAAAAAUGAUCGUGGUCAUAGUGUGUUGUCGGCCAAAAAAACAUGCUGACAUCAUGCAGGAUUGGAGCUCAAUGGAGGAGAAGUUAUGCUGGGAUGGGUCAUUUCCUGUCAUGACGAUCGGGCGCAGGAAAUGCUCGAAGGUCUUGAAAAGAAGUAUGGGCCGUUGGCGCAGUGUCGGGCGGUCAAUUUCUGGCGUGGGUUAAGCGUAAAUAUGCUCAGCCGCAUGAUGUGUGACGCCCUCCAUGCCACCGACUCCGGUGAAGGCGUGAUAUUUUUAACCGACAUUUCCGGCGCGGCGCCUUAUCGUGUAGCGUCGCUGAUGAGCCAUAAACAUUCUCAAUGUGAAGUUAUUUCCGGUGUUAGCUAUUCAUUGAUGGAGGAAAUGAUUACCUGGCGAGAGUCAAUGAGCAGUUCAGCAUUUCGCGACCAGAUUGUCGCGCUUGGCGCGCCGGAUGUCACCAGUCUCUGGCAUCAGCAGCAGAAAAAUCCGCCUUUUGUAUUGCUGCAUGAUUCGUAUGAGUUUUGAUCAAUACCAUUGACGACGCUUUUGCUACAAUGACGGCGUUUUUUCGCCUCGGUUAUGAUAUAUGGUUAUGCGCGUUGUUCUUAUCUUGCUGUUCUUUUUCGCCGGUAAUGUGUUGGCUGCCUUGCCCGCUCGUUAUAUGCAAACGACGAAAGAUGCCGCCAUCUGGUCGCAGAUUGGCGACAAAAUGGUGACCGUAGGGAAUAUCCGCGCCGGACAAAUUCUUUCCGUAACGCCUGUUGCGGCUGAUUAUUAUGCCUUUAAAUUCGGCUUCGGUGUGGGCUUUAUCGAUAAAGGCCAUCUGGAGUCCGUGCAGGGAAAACAAAAAGUGGAAGAUGGCCUGGGCGAUCUUAACAAGCCGCUCAGCAAUCAGAAUCUGGUGACCUGGAAGGACACGCCGGUGUAUAACGCGCCGGACAUCAGUAGCGCCCCGUUUGGCGUAUUGGUGGAUAAUUUGCGUUACCCCAUUAUUAGCAAGCUGAAAGGCCGGCUACAUCAAACCUGGUAUCAGAUCCGUAUUGGCGACAGGCUGGCUUAUGUCAGCGCCAUGGAUGCGCAGGAAGACAACGGCAUUCCGAUUUUGACCUAUCAUCACAUCUUACGUGAUGAAGAGAAUACUCGUUUUCGCCAUACGUCCACCACGACUUCGGUUCGGGCAUUCAGCAACCAAAUGACCUGGCUUCGCGAUCGCGGCUAUGCCA